This 484-nucleotide ribosomal RNA is filed under the name uncultured bacterium. Its description in RNAcentral is "partial 16S ribosomal RNA". It matches the Rfam family "Bacterial small subunit ribosomal RNA", at positions 30 to 507 of the family's 1533-position model. The record is from RNAcentral.
AUUGAACGCUGGCGGCAUGCUUUACACAUGCAAGUCGAACGGCAGCGCGGGCUUCUUCCUGGCGGCGAGUUGCGAACGGGUGAGUAAUGCACCGGAACGUGCCCAGUCGUUGGGGAUAGCCCGGCUAAAGCCGGCUUAAUACCGCAUACGACCUGAUGUUGAAAGCGGGGGUCCGAAAGUCCUCGCGCGAUUUGAUCGGCCGAUGUCGGAGUAGCUAGUUGGUUGGGUAAGGGCUUACCAAGGCGACGAUCCGUAGCUGGUCUGAGAGGACGACCAGCCACACUGGGACUGAGACACGGUCCAGACUCCUACGGGAGGCAGCAGUGGGGAAUUUUGGACAAUGGGGGAAACCCUGAUCCAGCAAUGCCGCGUGCGGGAAGAAGGCCUUCGGGUUGUAAACCGCUUUUGUUAGGGAAGAAAUACUCUGGGAUAAUACCCCGGGGGCAUGACGGUACCGGAAGAAUAAGCACCGGCUAACUACGUG